This 107-nucleotide small RNA is filed under the name Arabidopsis thaliana (thale cress). Its description in RNAcentral is "ATSL194510". Lineage: Eukaryota; Viridiplantae; Streptophyta; Magnoliopsida; Brassicales; Brassicaceae. The record is from RNAcentral.
AAAAUUUUAAAAACGUUGCACAAUCGUCGCAAAUCAGUCGCAACUCGGUUACGCAAACGUCGCAAAGUGUGACUAUUUUGUAACUAUUAGUAAAACGUCACAAGAAA